Long non-coding RNA from Tarenaya hassleriana, 622 nucleotides. RefSeq lists it as uncharacterized. The record is from RefSeq and is a predicted model, not a curated record. Lineage: Eukaryota; Viridiplantae; Streptophyta; Magnoliopsida; Brassicales; Cleomaceae. The transcript is spliced from 2 exons.
UUUUCGUCAUUAGCUAGGUUCGUGCUUCGUUGUUUGCGUGUUCAUACGUUUUAUGGUUGAUGGUAUGAGCUUCUUUCUCUGGCCGGUUGGAUUACAUAUGUUCCUAAUUGGCUCGUUCAAUUGAAGCGAGAUAGCCUCAACUUACACGCUGGUCUGCUGCCAACCUAGCUCCAAGCCAUCUUUGUUCAAGGCAUUUGCAUUUUGGUGGGUCGGCUUUAUUGUUUUUUCUUGUCAUGUAGUUUGUGAAUUGGAUUGUGUAGAUCAUGCUGCACGAAAUUAUUUCUUCCUUGAUGGGUUGCGCUCACUGAAGCGAGUUCAUCUUAAAACCAGUCAUAGCUAAUGCUGGGCUAUGUAGUAUACUAUGCUUUCGUCUGUGGUUAUCUGUCAAUGAUGACUCUUCGUAGGCUUGUCCCGAUCUCUCAGAGAUGACGAAGCACUUAAAUGUGAAGAGACUGAGGCAAUGAUCCUUAUUGUACCUUAAUGACCCGAACACAUUACCAUUAUAGACUGAGGCAAUGAUCCUUAUUGUACCUUAAGGCUAUUUUGCCUUAUGUUUGAUCUGCUCUGGAAAUUUUACUGAAAUCUUUGACAAUGUGCGAAUUUGAUGUUGUGUUUUUCGAAG